UGGGUUAGAGGAAAACGAAGAGAAUUUUGAGGGAGGAUCGGAAAAGUCCAGUGAGAUUUCAGCAAUUAAUGCUACAAUUAGUGAAGCAAAAUCAGUUAUCGUUAUGCCCAGAAACAAAUCUCAGUUCACGAGCCGUAGAAUUACACCUUCAGAUAAAGCAGAUGAUAUGUCAGAAAAGCUGCUUCUAAAUGGGGAUCUGUAUUCUGGAAAAUUUUCAAAUAAUACACCUCAUGGAUUGGGUAAAUACCUAUGGAAAGAUGGGUGUAUGUAUGAAGGGGAAUGGAGGAAGGGGAAGGCCUGUGGCAAAGGGAAGUUUUCAUGGCCAUCAGGCGCAACAUUUGAAGGCGAAUUCAAGUAUGGUCGAAUGGAGGGCAGUGGCACUUACAUAGGUUCUGAUGGGGAUAUGUAUAAGGGCUCCUGGGUCGGUGAUCGUAAGCACGGAUAUGGAGUGAAGCAUUAUGGAAAUGGGGAUUACUACGAGGGCGAAUGGAAAAAGAAUUUGCAAGAUGGGCAGGGGAGGUAUACAUGGAGGAAUGGGAAUGAGUAUGUUGGUGAAUGGAAGAAUGGGAUGAUUCAUGGAAGAGGUGUUUUAGUUUGGAACAAUGGGAAUAGAUAUGAUGGGAAUUGGGAGACUGGGAUUCCAAAGGGAGAUGGGGUUUUUACAUGGCCCGAUGGGAGUUGCUAUAUCGGCUGCUGGCCGAAAGACUCAUGUAGAAACAUCGAUAGUGAUCAAAUCUUGAAUGGUACUUUUUAUCCUGCAAAUAAUUGUAAUAAUGUUAAUGGAAAUGAUGAGAAUGAGGAGGGAUUUAAGAGGUAUUUUGAUGAUAAGUUAUUGGUAGCAAAGGAGGAGAGAAUGGAUGUAAUGAUAGGUGGUGGUAGGAAGAAGAGGUGGUCAGUGGACGAGGGGUUGAUGGAGAGGACUUUCCCAAGAAUAUGCAUUUGGGAGUCAGAGGGUGUGGCUGGGGAUAUAACGUGUGAUAUUAUCGAUAAUGUGGAGGCAUCGUUGUUAUAUAGAAAUCACGAUGGAGUGAGGCAAUUACGGAGGAAUUCUUGUAGUUUUAGUGGGGAAGUGAAGAAGGCAGGACAGACUAUAUCUAAAGAGCAUAAGAAUUAUGCUUUGAUGCUUAUAUCAACUUCCUAUAUAUGUUUUUAUAUAAAAACAAAGUAAUUUUAUAAAAUUAUUUAAAUAUGUUUAAAAUCAAUUUUUUAUUCUUAGAAAUAAUUUAUAUAUAUAUAUAUAUAUAUAUAUAUAUAUAUAUAAAGAGAAGGGAAAAGGGUGCAUUAGGUAAUGGUGCGAUUAUUUUUAGACUGGAUUAUUCAAAUCGAUUCUACCAUUAACUCAUUACCCUGAUUAGGUGUGCAUAAUCCCCCCUCCCCCCAAAUUAUAAAAUGUACAUGCUGUAAUAGUAUGUAUGUGUAAUACAUUUGUAAAUUUAGAGUGUAAAUUGAUUUUAUUUUAUUUUAUUUUAUUUUUUGUUUCACUCAAGCUACUUGACACAUUUAUAAAACAUGACAUGUCGCUCCAUCUAAUUGGUCCACUCAUUUUGACACUCAGAUUAGAGGCACAUCCUCAUUCAUAAGGGCGUUAUUAAAAAAACAAAAACAAAUAAAAAAUGUCGUAUUAUACAUACAAUUACUUACACUUUAUUGUAUUUACACUUGUAUGAAUCGAUUUAUAUAGCUCAUACAUAUUUUGCAAACAUAAUGUCGCUGAGUUAAAUAAAUGAGUGGUUACUGAAAUUUAAAAUAUGAUUAUCACUUACUCACUGAAAACGAGUAGCUUUUGAAUGUAUAUAGUGGAAAGGUAUGGGAGUUGAAACAAGCUUUCUAGUAACAGUCAUUAGGAGUGAUGAGUUUUCAAACGUAUCUAUUCUAACUAUGUUGAAAACAAAUGCUGUUGACAUAUUUGCUGAAUGAUAAGUCCAUUUUACAUACUUAUUUAAGUCACAGACAUGAAUAAUUGUUGGUAAGUAUUUUGGAAUAUGACUUAAUUCUAUAUAAAUUAUGUUUUGUAGGACAGCACUGAUGAAUAUAAUAAAAUUUAGGAAAAAUAAGCCAAAAAGGACUAAGAAAUUAUAGUGUUUUAAAUAGUAUUUUUUUUUUUUUAAAUGUGUAGUUAAAAUUUAGAGAAACUUUAUUAGUUUGUGUAGAAUAUUUUAUUGUAUAAAUAUGUGGCGAAAAAUAUUACUAUAUCAAACAAUAUAAUUUGUUAAAAGGAUGACAAACAGAGGCUAAAAAUGGAAGAAAAUAAAAGUUUAAGGAUCAAAGUGUAAAUAGUCAAAAGAUGAAGAUUAUGCAAAACCAUUUUUAAUUUCACGUUUUUUUAUUUACAAAAUACAAAUUUUUGAUGACAUAGCUAUGAUUUACACAUUUGUAUGUCACAUCAUUUUUUCAUUUGCCACGUGGGUAUAUUUGUGCACCUGUACAAAUGAAAUUGGCUAUGGUGAUGGAGGGAUAAACUAAUCAAUAUUUCAAUGAAUAUUGUGUAGCAAUUUAAAUUUCAAUCAGCAAGUAAUUGUUGAGUUGCCACACGUUUAAUUAACUCAAUGCCGAUUCACUUCUCACAUUUUUCCUCACUUUCUCUUUCACACAGUUAGGCACUCAAUUAUCUGUUUCCUGUUUCUCUCUCUACAAAACCUUCCAUAUUCCAUACGGUAUACAAGGCACAAGCUAUACGUAAUAGAGAAAUGGUGCAGAAACUGGAUUUCCCAGCUGUUCAUAAACAUUACUGGGAAUAGUUGAACAAAUCCUACUUACUUUCUCUUCAAAAACCUCAUUUUCCCUAGAAGAAUGCCACACCAAGAGGAAAACGGUAAGAAAAAUUAUGGGUUAGAGGAAAACGAAGAGAAUUUUGAGGGAGGAUCGGAAAAGUCCAGUGAGAUUUCAGCAAUUAAUGCUACAAUUAGUGAAGCAAAAUCAGUUAUCGUUAUGCCCAGAAACAAAUCUCAGUUCACGAGCCGUAGAAUUACACCUUCAGAUAAAGCAGAUGAUAUGUCAGAAAAGCUGCUUCUAAAUGGGGAUCUGUAUUCUGGAAAAUUUUCAAAUAAUACACCUCAUGGAUUGGGUAAAUACCUAUGGAAAGAUGGGUGUAUGUAUGAAGGGGAAUGGAGGAAGGGGAAGGCCUGUGGCAAAGGGAAGUUUUCAUGGCCAUCAGGCGCAACAUUUGAAGGCGAAUUCAAGUAUGGUCGAAUGGAGGGCAGUGGCACUUACAUAG
RNAcentral lists this long non-coding RNA (3214 nucleotides) under Olea europaea (common olive). Its description in RNAcentral is "long non-coding RNA (OEUR_LNC001718)". The record is from RNAcentral. Lineage: Eukaryota; Viridiplantae; Streptophyta; Magnoliopsida; Lamiales; Oleaceae.